This 492-nucleotide ribosomal RNA is filed under the name uncultured bacterium. Its description in RNAcentral is "partial 16S ribosomal RNA". It matches the Rfam family "Bacterial small subunit ribosomal RNA", at positions 30 to 507 of the family's 1533-position model. The record is from RNAcentral.
AUUGAACGCUGGCGGCAUGCUUUACACAUGCAAGUCGAACGGUAACAGGCCUUCUGGUGCUGACGAGUGGCGCACGGGUGAGUAAUGCAUCGGAACGUACCCAGAGGUGGGGGAUAACGCAGCUAAAGCUGUGCUAAUACCGCAUGUGAUCUGAGGAUGAAAGCGGGGGACCGAGCAGCAAUGUUUGGCCUCGCGCCUUUGGAGCGGCCGAUGUCGGAUUAGCUAGUUGGUGGGGUAAAGGCCUACCAAGGCGACGAUCCGUAGCUGGUCUGAGAGGACGACCAGCCACACUGGGACUGAGACACGGCCCAGACUCCUACGGGAGGCAGCAGUGGGGAAUUGUGGACAAUGGGCGCAAGCCUGAUCCAGCAAUGCCGCGUGCGGGAAGAAGGCCUUCGGGUUGUAAACCGCUUUUGGCAGGAACGAAACGGUGUCCGCUAAUACCGGGCGCUAAUGACGGUACCUGCAGAAUAAGCACCGGCUAACUACGUG